RNAcentral lists this ribosomal RNA (406 nucleotides) under uncultured bacterium. Its description in RNAcentral is "partial 16S ribosomal RNA". It matches the Rfam family "Bacterial small subunit ribosomal RNA", at positions 30 to 526 of the family's 1533-position model. The record is from RNAcentral.
AUUGAACGCUGGCGGCAGGCUUUACACAUGCAAGUCGAACGAGCGGCGGACGGGUGAGUAACGCAUGGGAACGUGCCCAGUAGAGGGGGAUAACUACUCGAAACGGUGGCUAAUACCGCAUACUAUUGGAUGGGCCCAUGUGGGAUUAGCUGGUUGCUGGGGUAAAGGCUCACCAAGGCGACGAUCAGUAGCGGGUCUGAGAGGAUGAUCCGACACACUGGGACUGAGACACGGCCCAGACUCCUACGGGAGGCAGCAGUGGGGAAUUUUGGACAAUGGGCGCAAGCCUGAUCCAGCCAUGCCGCGUGUAUGAAGAAGGCCUUCGGGUUGUAAAGUACUUUUGUCAGGGAAGCGGUACCUGAAGAAUAAGCACCGGCUAACUACGUGCCAGCAGCCGCGGUAAUUC